AACGAACGCUGGCGGCAUGCCUAACACAUGCAAGUCGAACGAGACCUUCGGGUCUAGUGGCGCACGGGUGCGUAACGCGUGGGAACCUGCCCUUAGGUUCGGAAUAACUCCCCGAAAGGGGUGCUAAUACCGGAUAAUGUCUUCGGACCAAAGAUUUAUCGCCUUUGGAUGGGCCCGCGUUGGAUUAGCUAGUUGGUAGGGUAAAAGCCUACCAAGGCGACGAUCCAUAGCUGGUCUGAGAGGAUGAUCAGCCACACUGGAACUGAGACACGGCCCAGACUCCUACGGGAGGCAGCAGUGGGGAAUAUUGGACAAUGGGCGAAAGCCUGAUCCAGCAAUGCCGCGUGAGUGAUGAAGGCCUUAGGGUUGUAAAGCUCUUUUACCCGGGAUGAUAAUGACAGUACCGGGAGAAUAAGCUCCGGCUAACUCCGUG
RNAcentral lists this ribosomal RNA (433 nucleotides) under uncultured bacterium. Its description in RNAcentral is "partial 16S ribosomal RNA". It matches the Rfam family "Bacterial small subunit ribosomal RNA", at positions 29 to 507 of the family's 1533-position model. The record is from RNAcentral.